This 113-nucleotide ribosomal RNA is filed under the name Lepisosteus oculatus (spotted gar). Lineage: Eukaryota; Metazoa; Chordata; Actinopteri; Semionotiformes; Lepisosteidae. The record is from RNAcentral.
GCCAGCAGCCAUAUCACUCUGCAAAUCAUAAGUGAGUUGCAGCUAAGCAGGUGUGAGCCUGGUCAGAACAUGGAUGAGAGAUCUCCUGUGAAAAACUAAGGUUGCUUCUGGAA